This is a non-coding RNA of Callithrix jacchus (white-tufted-ear marmoset), 1799 nucleotides long. The record is from RefSeq and is a predicted model, not a curated record. Lineage: Eukaryota; Metazoa; Chordata; Mammalia; Primates; Cebidae.
GAAAAGAAGGCGCCACGUUAAUUCUACAAGGUCUCUGGUCCCUGCCUGCCCCGGGUGCUCAUGGAACCUGCUGCUGCCCUGCCCUUCUCCCUGCCGGCCUCCCUCCUGCUCCUCCUCCUCAGCCUGUGUGCGCUGGUCUCAGCCCAGUUGACUGUGGUGGGGCCCACUGACCCCAUCCUGGCCAUGGUGGGAGAAAACACGACGUUACGCUGCCAUCUGUCCCCCGAGAAAAAUGCUGAGGACAUGGAGGUGCGGUGGUUCUGGUCUCACUUCUCCCCAGCAGUGUUUGUGUAUAAGGGAGGGAGAGAGAGAACAGAGGAGCAGAUGGAGGAGUACCGAGGAAGAACCACCUUUGUGAGCAAGGACGUCAGCAGGGGUAGCGUGGCCCUGGUCAUACACAACGUCACAGCCCAGGAGAACGGCACCUACCGCUGUUACUUCCAAGAAGGCAGGUCCUCCGAUGAGGCCAUCCUGCGCCUCGUGGUGGCAGGACUGGGCUCUGAGCCCCUGAUUGAAAUGAGGGGCCACGAGGAUGGGGGCAUCCUGGUGGAGUGCAUAUCCAGAGGGUGAUACCCGAAGCCCCUCAUGCUGUGGAGGGACCCCUCCGGCGAGGUCGUGCCUGCCCUGAAGGAGGUCUCCACCCAUGAUGCAGACGGCCUCUUCAUGGUCACCACAGCUGUGAUCAUCAGAGACAGGUCCGUGAGGAACAUGUCCUGCUCUGUCAACAACGCCCUGCUCGGCCAGAAGAAAGAAAGUGUCAUUUUUAUUCCAGAAUCCUUCAUGUCCAGCGUGUCUCCCUGUGUGGUGGUGAACGUCUGUAGGAACGUCUGUCACUCUGCUUAUUCUGAUGAUACCCAUUGCCAUGUGUAUCUACUGGAUCAACAAACUCCAAAAGGGUAAAAGAUUCUGUCAGGGGAAAAGGAGUUUGAACACGAAAUGAGAGAAAUUGCUACAAAGGACCUGGAGAAAGAACGUGUGGAAAAAGAGACAGAACUUCAAAUAAAAGAGCAACUUCAGGAAGAACUGAGAUGGAGAAGAACAUUCUUACAUGCUGCCAAUGUGUUCCUGGACCCAGACACCGCUCAUUUCGAGCUCUUCCUCUCAGAAGACCGGAGAAGUGUGAGGCGGGGCCCAUUCAGGCAGAUCGUGCAGGACAACCCAGAGAGAUUCGACAGUCAGCCCUGUGUCCUGGGCCGGGAGAGAUUCGCCUCUGGGAAACAUUACUGGGAGGUGGAGGUGGAAAACGUGAUGGUAUGGACUGUGGGGGUGUGUAGAGACAGUGUUGAGAGGAAAGGGGAGUUCCUGCUGCUUCCUGAGAAUGGCUUCUGGACCCUGGAGAUGUUUGGAAACCAGUACCGGGCCCUGUCCUCCCCUGAGAGGAUACUCCCUUUGAAGGAGUCCCUUUGCCGGGUGGGCGUCUUCCUGGACUAUGAAGCUGGAGACGUCUCCUUCUACAACAUGAGGGACAGAUCACACAUCUACACAUGCCCCCGUUCAGUCUUCUCCAGAGGGCCUGACACUUCACAGGGCAAGGACCCACCACAGCCCACAGGAUCAAUUCCCUGGUCUCACAGCCAUGUAGACGAGCCCUGGCCAUCUCAGCAGCCACCGCACAACGCCCCUGGUGGAAGACACGCCCUCCCCGCUCUGGUCACAUAAGAGAACAUCUUCCAGCUGCCUGUUUCACACCCCCUGCAGGCCUCAGCCCCUGUUCACCUCCUCACGAGGCUGUGGCUUUAGCAGUUCAUUUCCUUGUAACUGUGGGGCGGGAUCCAGGCCUAGUGAGCUAGUUGCUACAC